This 253-nucleotide ribosomal RNA is filed under the name uncultured bacterium. Its description in RNAcentral is "partial 16S ribosomal RNA". It matches the Rfam family "Bacterial small subunit ribosomal RNA", at positions 524 to 776 of the family's 1533-position model. The record is from RNAcentral.
UACGGAGGGGGCUAGCGUGGUUCGGAAUUACUGGGCGUAAAGCGCACGUAGGCGGAUCAGCAAGUUAGGGGUGAAAUCCCGGGGCUCAACCCCGGAACUGCCUUUAAAACUGUUGGUCUGGAGGUCGAGAGAGGUGAGUGGAAUUCCGAGUGUAGAGGUGAAAUUCGUAGAUAUUCGGAGGAACACCAGUGGCGAAGGCGGCUCACUGGCUCGAUACUGACGCUGAGGUGCGAAAGCGUGGGGAGCAAACAGG